Symphalangus syndactylus (siamang) is the source of this 1657-nucleotide long non-coding RNA. RefSeq lists it as uncharacterized. The record is from RefSeq and is a predicted model, not a curated record. NCBI's taxonomy places the organism in Eukaryota, Metazoa, Chordata, Mammalia, Primates, Hylobatidae.
ACAUCAUUUGCACGUCAUUCCUUCCUGUCUCCAGCUGCUUCUUCCCAGCCCUCCUCCUUCUCUGCACACAGGAAACCUCAUUCUGUGGUGUGAACGGGGGAUUCCCGUCUUCCUGAAGCGACAUAGUCUUGAGCUGCCUGUGCCCUUCCCAUCGCAGUGAAUGUUGCCAGUUGGGGAUGACUGGGCAGCCAUGGGGAAGGGAGUAAAGCACGUGGCAUCAAGACUGCAGCAGAAGGCCAGGCGCAGUGGCUCACACCUGUAAACCCAGCACUUUGGGAGGCUGAGGGCGGGGGUGGAUCACCUGAGGUCAGGAGUUCAAGACCAGCCUGGCCAAAAUGGGGAAACCUCAUCUCUACUAAAAAUACCAAAUUAGCCAGGUGUGGUGGCACGAGCCUGUAAUCCCAGCUACUUGGGAGGCUGAGGCAGAAGAAUCACUUGAACCUGGGAGGCAGAGGUUGCCGUGAGCUGAGAUCAGGCCAUUGCACUCCAGCCUGAGCAACAAGAGUGAAACUCCAUAUAAAAAAAAAAAAAAAAAAAGAAAGAAAGAAAAAAGGCUGCAACAGAAGCGCAGGGCACCCUGGGAUCCCUGCAGCCUCUCACCUUCCACCUCUGUGCUGGGAUCCAUCAAUUCCCUUCCCAUUUGACUGUCAAAUCAGAAGGGUCUUUGCUAAUUUCAGCCUAAAUCGGGAGAAAGCUGACCUCGAUUUAGCUAGAAUGACAGUGAUGACUAAUUUGUACUCCAGAAUUAAUAAAGCUAGCUCUUCCCCCAUGGGGAGAGAAAGAUGAUGUGGUUUUCUUGCAUCUGCACUAACUGAGAUUGCUUUUUGGCAAGGAUAGAGAAAUGCUAAUUCUCCACACUCCCAGGAGGGGGUCUGCUGACAGCUCCUGGGCUGUCACCUGAAUUGGGGUGUGACUGGGCCAGGGAUAUCCCAAGCCAACCAGCCAGGCACCUGAAUGGGUGGGCUCUUGACCCCCUUGAGGCCACUGUGGUCUUUGAAGGAAAGUCAGUAGGUCUGGAAGCAAGCGUGGUGGGGACCCCUUCCCCCUGGGGGGCCAGGAACUCCUGUUAUAAGAGCUCCAACAGGCCUCCGUAUUUUCUGUCCCUUUUAUGGGCAAGAAUUCAAUUCUGUGUCCUGAGCAGGGGUUGUUCCGGUCAAUAAGCAACUUCAGUUCCUUGGGACAGGACGCCAGACUUGCUGGUAAUGACAUCAUUGUUUCUUUACUGGAAGACAGCAGCGUAUUCCAGGAUUCCAGGAGCGCAAUGCAGUAGAAAACAACCACUUGGCCCUAGAGACCGAGACUAAUUUCUGGGAAAGAGGCAGCCAGGCUCCUCGGCCUUAUGCAGGUCAUGAAGACUCAGCACACUGAGAUGGAAGGUCCUCAGUUCCCAGCUAAGCGAGCCUCCAAGGACUGUGACGUCCCAACCUUCGGACGAGGAUGGAGCGGGAGGAGACACAGCGCUGGCCAGGAGACCUGGCGUUGGGGCUCUGCCCCUGGUCUGGCUGAGCGAUCCGGGCAAGUCACUACCCUGGCCAAGGCCGGCUUUGUCGGCAGAGAAAUGGGUGAAUGCUGCCUCCGCUUGAAUCCAGAGUUUGUCAGGAUGCUAUGGAAAAAAUUAUGUGAAGGUUCUUUGUAACAUUAAAAAAAAUAAAAAAAA